Acanthochromis polyacanthus (spiny chromis) is the source of this 544-nucleotide long non-coding RNA. RefSeq lists it as uncharacterized. The record is from RefSeq and is a predicted model, not a curated record. NCBI's taxonomy places the organism in Eukaryota, Metazoa, Chordata, Actinopteri, Pomacentridae. The transcript is spliced from 2 exons.
UUCUCUAGUCAGUGCAGUGCACUGUUCAGUCUUAGUUCCUGGUUUCUUGUACUUUUUGUAAUCCUGUGUUUGCUCCAUUCCAGACUGGCUUCUGCCUGCUCGUGUUACCCUGGAUUCCUGUUUUCUGUCUUCCUGAAAAUCCCCUACAGAACCCCUGUGUGAUCUACCCCUGGAUAUCUCUGGUUCAUACACAUCAGAUUUGGUUCCCUCACUCCUACACCUCUGUCACCUGCUUGCCGCCUCUGUUGCCAAACUACAAACUCUGGCCACCUCCAACGCCAACCUCACAAAGCUGUCGCCUUUCAGCUGUAGGAUUUCUGCCAUGCCACCGCUGGUCCAGCCACAGCCACCCGCAGCCGCCACAUCACCACCUCCCAGUGCACCAGUCUCCUCUGGAGACAUCCAGACCAGUCUGCCUCUUUGCCAGGAGGAAUCUACCUGUCCUGAGAUAUAAAGGAUAUUUCCGCGUUAUAGAAUAGUUCUGGUUUCCAGUUGUAGUUCUUGUAUCUUGUUCCUGCAUUGUAAAAUAAAGCUUUCUAAAUUG